AGCGAACGCUGGCGGCAGGCCUAACACAUGCAAGUCGAACGGAUCCUUCGGGAUUAGUGGCGGACGGGUGAGUAACACGUGGGAACGUGCCCUUUGGUUCGGAACAACUCAGGGAAACUUGAGCUAAUACCGGAUGUGCCCUUCGGGGGAAAGAUUUAUCGCCAUUGGAGCGGCCCGCGUCUGAUUAGCUAGUUGGUGAGGUAACGGCCCACCAAGGCGACGAUCAGUAGCUGGUCUGAGAGGAUGAUCAGCCACACUGGGACUGAGACACGGCCCAGACUCCUACGGGAGGCAGCAGUGGGGAAUCCUGCGCAAUGGGCGAAAGCCUGACGCAGCCAUGCCGCGUGAAUGAUGAAGGUCUUAGGAUUGUAAAAUUCUUUCAGCGGGGACGAUAAUGACAGUACCCGCAGAAGAAGCUCCGGCUAACUUCGUG
This 433-nucleotide ribosomal RNA is filed under the name uncultured bacterium. Its description in RNAcentral is "partial 16S ribosomal RNA". It matches the Rfam family "Bacterial small subunit ribosomal RNA", at positions 29 to 507 of the family's 1533-position model. The record is from RNAcentral.